This 443-nucleotide ribosomal RNA is filed under the name uncultured bacterium. Its description in RNAcentral is "partial 16S ribosomal RNA". It matches the Rfam family "Bacterial small subunit ribosomal RNA", at positions 338 to 795 of the family's 1533-position model. The record is from RNAcentral.
CCUACGGGAGGCAGCAGUGGGGAAUAUUGGACAAUGGGGGGAACCCUGAUCCAGCGACGCCGCGUGAGUGAAGAAGUAUUUCGGUAUGUAAAGCUCUAUCAGCAGGGAAGAAAGAAAUGACGGUACCUGACUAAGAAGCCCCGGCUAACUACGUGCCAGCAGCCGCUGUAAUACGGCGGGGGCAAGCGUUAUCCGGAUUUACGGGGUGUAAAGGGAGCGUAGACGGCGAUGCAAGUCUGAAGUGAAAGGCGGGGGCCCAACCUCCGGACUGCUUUGGAAACUGUAUGGCUGGAGUGCAGGAGAGGUAAGUGGAAUUCGUAGUGUAGCGGUGAAAUGCGUAGAUAUUAGGAGGAACACCAGUGGCGAAGGCGGCUUACUGGACUGUAACUGACGUUGAGGCUCGAAAGCGUGGGGAGCAAACAGGAUUAGAUACCCCAGUAGUC